Molecule: long non-coding RNA, 1750 nt
Organism: Herpailurus yagouaroundi (jaguarundi)
Lineage: Eukaryota; Metazoa; Chordata; Mammalia; Carnivora; Felidae
Exons: 4
Source: RefSeq, a predicted model, not a curated record
GGCCUCGGCCCGACUCCCCGCCGGGCUGCUCCAGUUCCACCGCCGCGUCUGCACCGCCGUGCUCAGUUUGAAACACCCGCUUAUUUCUUUCCCCGUUUCCUCUCUACUUCUCGAUUCUGUCCUUGUUUGGGCAUCACUGUGGAGGGGGGCGGGGGGCGGGCAGCAUCUUAGGACCAGCGGCGUUGGUGGCUCUUCUCCUUGGGGAUAGCUCGUGAACUCGAGCAGUAGGAUCCCAGCAGGGAGAGAAAUCAGGAUAAAAAUGAGAACUAGAAUUUCAUUCCCAUCCAGGUCGAAAGACCCACACGCAUAACUCCUUUCUGGGACACUCGCUUGCAUCUCAGCACCGGCAGGAAGGGCCGGGAGAGCGCGCAACUCCGCGUCUGAGCCUCGCGGUGGAGGCUGGCGGGUUGGCUCACACGGACGCAGGACACCGCCCUCCGGGAAGCGGGUCGGAGCAAGCCAGCCUUAUUGCUGCGGGGACCACGCGGGAGAGACUUUUGACACAAGCCACGUUUGGUUUCAAAGAAAAGAGGGUACUUCCCCGAAAUUUGCCCUCCCAUGGCGGUGCAGGGCCCUCCGCUCAAAGCGGAGCUCCACCCGAAUUUGACAAGUGAAGUUGGUAGACUUGGGACCAUAAACUGGAAAACAAGAUAUGAAAGUAUGCUCCAAUCAAUCUUUACUGUUCAUAGAGGACAACCAUUUGGGAAAUUCACAGACCAUUGAACCUUGUCUCUGAAUUCCCAGUUCAGCACCUUUACUUUUAGAGAAGAGAAACACAACUCUGAAGAGGACACUUUGAAAGUGUAACAAAAUGACAUCCAGAGCUUAUCCAGAUGAGCAGAGAGCAACUGAAUUGCCUUCUGCUCCUUUGUUGAAGAAGAGAGAAAAUUCUUCAACCAGCUAGAAAUGGCAUGAGCAGGCCAUCCCUUUCUGAGCAGCUGCUACCAAGUCAGGCAGAAGUUCACCGGAGAUUCCUGAUGAAAACACAAGACAAGCCGGACCCAUGGAUCCAUGAAACAGUCUCCCCUUGAUAUGAAUCAAAGGUAGACACUUCCCCUUCCCUUUCUUCCAAGUGACUUAUAUGCAACAAAUGAACUCACUUUUCUUAUGUUUAUUUAGUUCAGGUCCUCAUGUUUCUUCCUGGCAAACAUGCCUAUCAAGUUCAUGUGACCCAGCUAAAGGGCUAUGGUCAUUUUUUUCUGGCUAAAUAAGCAGGUGGACCACACACCAGGGUCAGUGAUGUUUGAAACCAAACCACCCACUACUAGUGCGAAAAGGAGCACGCGUGCAGGGUAUGGUGAUUUCCUUUCAAGGUGUUUACAUGGAGACAGGAGCUUUCUCUUUGACUGUGGGAGACUGUUCCCUGUUUGGUCCUGAAUCCACAUGCUCCUCAAUCUUUCCAUUUCUUCUCUUUCUUUCAGCCUUGUUACUGGCUUUGUAAUACUUGAAGUUAUUCCAACCAUAGAGGUUUCUCUUUUUGCGGCACUGCCUGUGGAUAAGCAAUGUGGACUAUUCCCUUAUUUCUGCUGCUCAGGAAAUACACAAAUUCUCUUGAUUCUUUCAGAAUGUUUGAUUAUUUCAAGUUUCUCUUCAAUAUUGAAACUUUCCUUUUGCAUGCACCAUUUGACAUUAUGAAUCACGAGGCUUAGACAUUCUUGGUAUGUUAAAGGAGUGGUUUUUUUUUUUGGUUUUUUUGUUUUAAUUUUUUUUAACGUUUAUUCAUUUUUGAGAGAUAGAGACAGAGUGCGAG